CCGAUAGGAUGGAAGCAGAUGAAGUUGACGAACGAGUGUCGUAUUCAGGGUUGCAUCUUGUGUGCGGUCUGUUCUUGCGACCGAUGUGGGCUGGCGGCUUUGGUCAAUGCACUGCGUCAAACGUCUAUGGAGACCCUGCGGAGGGAUCAUCAGUGGGCUUGCGAUGCGUGGUAUGGCUAAGGUUUCGCCGGUCUUGAAGUCAGCGCCUCAUCUGACCCGUCUUGAAACACGGACCAAGGAGUGUAGCGUUUACGCGAGUCUUAGAGUGUAUUAAAACUUUGAGGCGCAACGAAAGUAAAGGUGGCUUCGGCUGCUGACUUGGGAUGCGUUGUCUCCUGUGGACGGCGCUGGACCAUGGUUAUAUCGCGAUCGCUUGCGAUGCGGUGUAAAUAGAGCGUAAACGGUGCGACCCGAAAGAUGGUGAACUAUGCCUGAGCAGGAUGAAGCCGGAGGAAACUCUGGUGGAAGUCCGAAGCGGUUCUGACGUGCAAAUCGAUCGUCUGACUUGGGUAUAGGGGCGAAAGACUAAUCGAACCAUCUAGUA
This 544-nucleotide ribosomal RNA is filed under the name Steinernema diaprepesi. RNAcentral describes it as "partial large subunit ribosomal RNA". It matches the Rfam family "Eukaryotic large subunit ribosomal RNA", at positions 405 to 949 of the family's 3401-position model. The record is from RNAcentral. Lineage: Eukaryota; Metazoa; Nematoda; Chromadorea; Rhabditida; Steinernematidae.